UGAGUGGCCAUUUCUACAAAGAAUGACAACAAAGCCUAAUCAGUAAAUGAAUCAAUAUAAUCAAGAAAUUUAGAUUUUAGUCCAAAGAUCCUCCCACCAUUUUGUACGAAUCAAUAGCCUCUACUUUAAUCCGAAGAAUUACUCCUAAUUCUUUAGUGGGUACCGGAAUCCACAUAGACUACAGAUGGGCCCGAGUGUGUCUCGGCUAACCCAUCU
This 216-nucleotide long non-coding RNA is filed under the name Phoenix dactylifera (date palm). RNAcentral's name for it is "long non-coding RNA (PDAC_LNC015351)". The record is from RNAcentral. Lineage: Eukaryota; Viridiplantae; Streptophyta; Magnoliopsida; Arecales; Arecaceae.